Molecule: non-coding RNA, 135 nt
Organism: Triticum aestivum (bread wheat)
Lineage: Eukaryota; Viridiplantae; Streptophyta; Magnoliopsida; Poales; Poaceae
Source: Rfam
UACAUACUCCCUCCGUUCCGAAUUACUUGUCUUAGAUUUGUCUAGAUACGGAGAUAUCUAGCACUAGAAUGAGUCUAGAUACAUCCGUAUCUAGACAAAUCCAAAACAAGUAAUUCGGAACGGAGGGAGUAUCUG